AUGCGUUGUUGGGUAGGGGAGCGUUCUGUAAGCCUGCGAAGGUAUGCUGUGAGGCAUGCUGGAGGUAUCAGAAGUGCGAAUGCUGACAUAAGUAACGAUAAAGCGGGUGAAAAGCCCGCUCGCCGGAAGACCAAGGGUUCCUGUCCAACGUUAAUCGGGGCAGGGUGAGUCGACCCCUAAGGCGAGGCCGAAAGGCGUAGUCGAUGGGAAACAGGUUAAUAUUCCUGUACUUGGUGUUACUGCGAAGGGGGGACGGAGAAGGCUAUGUUGGCCGGGCGACGGUUGUCCCGGUUUAAGCGUGUAGGCUGGUUUUCCAGGCAAAUCCGGAAAAUCAAGGCUGAGGCGUGAUGACGAGGCACUACGGUGCUGAAGCAACAAAUGCCCUGCUUCCAGGAAAAGCCUCUAAGCAUCAGGUAACAUCAAAUCGUACCCCAAACCGACACAGGUGGUCAGGUAGAGAAUACCAAGGCGCUUGAGAGAACUCGGGUGAAGGAACUAGGCAAAAUGGUGCCGUAACUUCGGGAGAAGGCACGCUGAUAUGUAGGUGAAGUCCCUCGCGGAUGGAGCUGAAAUCAGUCGAAGAUACCAGCUGGCUGCAACUGUUUAUUAAAAACACAGCACUGUGCAAACACGAAAGUGGACGUAUACGGUGUGACGCCUGCCCGGUGCCGGAAGGUUAAUUGAUGGGGUUAGCGCAAGCGAAGCUCUUGAUCGAAGCCCCGGUAAACGGCGGCCGUAACUAUAACGGUCCUAAGGUAGCGAAAUUCCUUGUCGGGUAAGUUCCGACCUGCACGAAUGGCGUAAUGAUGGCCAGGCUGUCUCCACCCGAGACUCAGUGAAAUUGAACUCGCUGUGAAGAUGCAGUGUACCCGCGGCAAGACGGAAAGACCCCGUGAACCUUUACUAUAGCUUGACACUGAACAUUGAGCCUUGAUGUGUAGGAUAGGUGGGAGGCUUUGAAGUGUGGACGCCAGUCUGCAUGGAGCCGACCUUGAAAUACCACCCUUUAAUGUUUGAUGUUCUAACGUUGACCCGUAAUCCGGGUUGCGGACAGUGUCUGGUGGGUAGUUUGACUGGGGCGGUCUCCUCCUAAAGAGUAACGGAGGAGCACGAAGGUUGGCUAAUCCUGGUCGGACAUCAGGAGGUUAGUGCAAUGGCAUAAGCCAGCUUGACUGCGAGCGUGACGGCGCGAGCAGGUGCGAAAGCAGGUCAUAGUGAUCCGGUGGUUCUGAAUGGAAGGGCCAUCGCUCAACGGAUAAAAGGUACUCCGGGGAUAACAGGCUGAUACCGCCCAAGAGUUCAUAUCGACGGCGGUGUUUGGCACCUCGAUGUCGGCUCAUCACAUCCUGGGGCUGAAGUAGGUCCCAAGGGUAUGGCUGUUCGCCAUUUAAAGUGGUACGCGAGCUGGGUUUAGAACGUCGUGAGACAGUUCGGUCCCUAUCUGCCGUGGGCGCUGGAGAACUGAGGGGGGCUGCUCCUAGUACGAGAGGACCGGAGUGGACGCAUCACUGGUGUUCGGGUUGUCAUGCCAAUGGCACUGCCCGGUAGCUAAAUGCGGAAGAGAUAAGUGCUGAAAGCAUCUAAGCACGAAACUUGCCCCGAGAUGAGUUCUCCCUGACUCCUUGAGAGUCCUGAAGGAACGUUGAAGACGACGACGUUGAUAGGCCGGGUGUGUAAGCGCAGCGAUGCGUUGAGCUAACCGGUACUAAUGAACCGUGAGGCUUAACCUUACAACGCCGAAGCUGUU
Molecule: ribosomal RNA, 1747 nt
Filed under: Escherichia coli
Lineage: Bacteria; Pseudomonadati; Pseudomonadota; Gammaproteobacteria; Enterobacterales; Enterobacteriaceae
Description: bacterial LSU rRNA
Rfam family: Bacterial large subunit ribosomal RNA
Source: RNAcentral